AGCGAACGCUGGCGGCAGGCCUAACACAUGCAAGUCGAACGAACCUUUCGGGGUUAGUGGCGGACGGGUGAGUAACACGUGGGAACGUGCCUUUAGGUUCGGAAUAACUCAGGGAAACUUGUGCUAAUACCGAAUGUGCCCUUCGGGGGAAAGAUUAAUCGCCUUUAGAGCGGCCCGCGUCUGAUUAGCUAGUUGGUUGAGGUAAUGGCUCACCAAGGCGACGAUCAGUAGCUGGUCUGAGAGGAUGAUCAGCCACAUUGGGACUGAGACACGGCCCAAACUCCUACGGGAAGCAGCAGUGGGGAAUCUUGCGCAAUGGGCGAAAGCCUGACGCAGCCAUGCCGCGUGAAUGAUGAAGGUCGUAGGAUUGUAAAAUUCUUUCACCGGGGACGAUAAUGACGGUACCCGGAGAAGAAGCCCCGGCUAACUUCGUG
Molecule: ribosomal RNA, 434 nt
Filed under: uncultured bacterium
Lineage: Bacteria
Description: partial 16S ribosomal RNA
Rfam family: Bacterial small subunit ribosomal RNA
Source: RNAcentral